AUUGAACGCUGGCGGCAGGCCUAACACAUGCAAGUCGAGCGGAUGAAGGGAGCUUGCUCCUGGAUUCAGCGGCGGACGGGUGAGUAAUGCCUAGGAAUCUGCCUGGUAGUGGGGGAUAACGUCCGGAAACGGGCACUAAUACCGCAUACGUCCUGAGGGAGAAAGUGGGGGAUCUUCGGACCUCACGCUAUCAGAUGAGCCUAGGUCGGAUUAGCUAGUUGGUGGGGUAAAGGCCUACCAAGGCGACGAUCCGUAACUGGUCUGAGAGGAUGAUCAGUCACACUGGAACUGAGACACGGUCCAGACUCCUACGGGAGGCAGCAGUGGGGAAUAUUGGACAAUGGGCGAAAGCCUGAUCCAGCCAUGCCGCGUGUGUGAAGAAGGUCUUCGGAUUGUAAAGCACUUUAAGUUGGGAGGAAGGGCAGUAAGUUAAUACCUUGCUGUUUUGACGUUACCAACAGAAUAAGCACCGGCUAACUUCAUG
RNAcentral lists this ribosomal RNA (484 nucleotides) under uncultured bacterium. Its description in RNAcentral is "partial 16S ribosomal RNA". It matches the Rfam family "Bacterial small subunit ribosomal RNA", at positions 30 to 507 of the family's 1533-position model. The record is from RNAcentral.